Molecule: ribosomal RNA, 492 nt
Filed under: uncultured bacterium
Lineage: Bacteria
Description: partial 16S ribosomal RNA
Rfam family: Bacterial small subunit ribosomal RNA
Source: RNAcentral
AUUGAACGCUGGCGGCAUGCUUUACACAUGCAAGUCGAACGGUAACAGGUUAAGCUGAUGAGUGGCGAACGGGUGAGUAAUGCAUCGGAACGUGCCCGGUCGUGGGGGAUAACGCAGCGAAAGCUGCGCUAAUACCGCAUACGAUCUGAGGAUGAAAGCGGGGGACCGUAAGGCCUCGCGCGAUCGAGCGGCCGAUGUCAGAUUAGGUAGUUGGUGGGGUAAAGGCUCACCAAGCCGACGAUCUGUAGCUGGUCUGAGAGGACGACCAGCCACACUGGGACGGAGAAACGGCCCAGACUCCUACGGGAGGCAGCAGUGGGGAAUUUUGGACAAGGGGCGCAAGCCUGAUCCAGCAAUGCCGCGUGCAGGAAGAAGGCCUUCGGGUUGUAAACUGCUUUUGUACGGAGCGAAAAGGCUCUCUCUAAUACGGAGGGCUCAUGACGGUACCGUAAGAAUAAGCACCGGCUAACUACGUGCCAGCCGCCGCGGUAA